CAAUAGCGUAUAUUAAAGUUGUUGCGGUUAAAAAGCUCGUAGUUGGAUUUCUGUCGGUGAGCGGCAGUCCGGCCUCUGUGUUUGGUACUUGUCGCGCCACCGGCAUCUUCCUGGGGACUGUGUCUGCUCUCAUUGAGUGGCGCAUAAUCCAGGACUUUUACUUUGAAGAAAUAGGAGUGUUUCAAGCAGGCAUGCGCCGUGAACACGUUAGCAUGGAAUAAUAGCAUCGGUACCUCGCUCCAAAGCUGUUGGUUUCUUGGGACGAGGUAAAGGGUAGAAUAGGGAUUGUUGGGGGCAUUCGUAUUAACUGUCAGAGGUGAAAUUCUUGGAUUUGUUGAAGACGGACUACUGCGAAAGCAUCUGCCAAAGAUGUUCUCAUUGAUCAAGAACAAAAG
RNAcentral lists this ribosomal RNA (395 nucleotides) under uncultured eukaryote. RNAcentral's name for it is "SSU rRNA". It matches the Rfam family "Eukaryotic small subunit ribosomal RNA", at positions 592 to 989 of the family's 1831-position model. The record is from RNAcentral.